Molecule: long non-coding RNA, 1013 nt
Filed under: Homo sapiens (human)
Lineage: Eukaryota; Metazoa; Chordata; Mammalia; Primates; Hominidae
Description: HSALNT0351058
Source: RNAcentral
GCGAUAUUGAAGAACAUAAAAGUAUAGCCAGUUUCCUCCUUUGAUCAGCACAUUCAACUGGUGCAAUACAGGGAUGGAAAGGAAGGCAAGAAAUGGAGGUGGAUGAAUGGACAGGGAAGCCUGCUGCCAUGUCUUGAGGACCCUCCAACAGCUCUGUGGAGAAGCCCACAUGGUGAGAAACUGAGGCCUUCAUGCAACAGCCAUGUGAAAAAGUCUUCAUGGAAGUGGGUCUUCCAGCCCAAUCAGAUCUUCAGAUGACUGCAGCCCCAGCUGACAGUUUCACAGGAAACUAAUGAGAGACCCUGAACCAGAGCCACCUGGGCCCCUGAGUUUCUGGCAGUUACAGUCAGGGCCCUCUGCUGAAAGAAGCAUCAUGGAAACCUGGACACACAUGAGAACCGGCCUUCCACGCAGGCAAGAAGCAGAAACUGAGGCUCCUCCUUCUCCAUCAUGAGGAAUGUCUUCUGGAAGGCCCUCUGUUGACCUCUCUUGAGAGAUGGCUUUGGUCUGGGUCACCCUGGGCCAUCAGUCAUAUUCUAAUAAUUUGAACCUUAAAAAGAAGGGGUUCUGGUUUCUGUUUCCUCUUUUUGUGUCCCAUAUAAAUUUCAGAUGCGGACAGAUGUAUAGGCAUGGGGCCUUGGCUAACUGCACUCACGACUCUUAGCCAAAUUAAUGAAGGAUAAUACUAAAGAGAACAAAACCCCCAGGGUAUUACAUAUGGAUUUCAAAUUCCAGAAUGAGUGCGAGAUAAGGGAAAUGAUGUAGUAUUUAAGACAGAAUCUCAAAUAAGAGCCAACCAAUACUGCCCCAGCCCUUGACCCGAGUUCUAAUUUCUCCUUUUGCACAUGGAAAGGGAGAAAGAAGAGGAGCAUGUGAGUGGUUUGAAGUACCCUGCCAUUCCUUACACAUCUGGGCAAAACUCAUCAUAAUAAGGAAGAAAUGAAAAUUGAGACGGAGGCUGAAGGAGGAGCCCUGAUUCUGUUUUCGGCUAUCCACAGGAUGGGACAUUUUAU